This 292-nucleotide ribosomal RNA is filed under the name uncultured bacterium. RNAcentral describes it as "partial 16S ribosomal RNA". It matches the Rfam family "Bacterial small subunit ribosomal RNA", at positions 505 to 796 of the family's 1533-position model. The record is from RNAcentral.
GUGUCAGCCGCCGCGGUAACACGGGGGGAGCAAGCGUUGUUCGGAAUCACUGGGCGUAAAGGGCGUGUAGGCGGCCAAGUAAGUGAAAUGUGAAAUUCCUCGGCUCACCCGAGGACCUGCAUCUCAUACUGCUUGGCUUGAGUACGGGAGAGGUUGUGGGAAUUCCUGGUGUAGCGGUGAAAUGCGUAGAUAUCAGGAGGAACACCGGUGGCGAAAGCGCACAACUGGCCCGAUACUGACGCUGAGGCGCGAAAGCUAGGGGAGCAAACGGGAUUAGAUACCCCCGUAGUCC